UUAAAAGCUUUAGCAGGCUAUUCUUUCUUUCUUCGGCUUCCAAACUUCUUUCACCACAUUUUCUCUCUAAUGACAUCCGAAAAUAGCUAAAAUAUCACCUCAAUUCCUCCCAUUUGCAUAGAAGAUUUACUCCUUUCAUAUAAAUAAGGUUGUCUUGAAAAAUGAAUAAUAACCGAUCUUGGAUGUAUGAGAGAAUUGAUGAUAGAGGAUUUUUAAAUGCUCUAUUUAAUUCCGGUGUGGAGGAAUUUAUGAAUUAUGCUAUAUCUCAACCAACGUCUAUGGGCGGGACAAGCAUACAAUGUCCUUGUUCAAAGUGUAAGAAUCGAAAAUAUUGGAAUGGAGAUACUGUGAAGCUACAUUUAUUGAAAAAUGGAUUUGUGAAAGAUUAUUAUGUAUGGAGUCGACAUGGGGAGCCAUACAUUAAAGAUGGACAUGUCGAACAUUCUUCAACAAAUUAUUCAAAUAUUUCACGGGGCACAGAUGAGAACAACUUAAUGUACAAUAUGAUGAUUGAUGUAGCUGGCCCGUUCACCGCCGCGAAGGCUCAACGUAAAGAUCCAACUCCGGCCGAUGUUUAUCUUGUUACACAUACGGUGAAGCAUGACAAAAAGAUUUUUAUUACCAAGAAAGCGGAACAAGUAUAUGUGAAACAGGGUUGAGACACUACGUGAGGAACGUUCGACACCCAUUGAAGGUUCUGAUGAACAUCGAGUUGUUGAUGAAGACCAAUUGUUUCUUGAAGCUGAUGGCGGACUAGACAAAAAAAACAAAGUUUAUGGCAUGAGUUCAUUACAAAGUGUUAUGUAUGGACUAGAAACUGAGGGUAGUCGUUACAGGGGCUCCAACUUCAACAAUGAAAAAUAUAAGCAAAUGCAGGGGGAGUUGCAGGACAUGAAGAACCAAGUAAAUGAAUUACAGGAGAUGAGAAACAAGGAAUUAGAAGAGAUCAGAAAGCAGAUGGAAGAGAUGAAGAGCCAACUUGCUAUAGUGUUUAACAAUCGGAAUGGAAAUUAAACAUUAGUGUCUGACUGGCUGCAUUUUAUUUAUGUAUUAAGUUUGUAUGACUUCUGAAUUAUAACUUGGAUGUUGCUUUUACUUAUUAAUUUAUGUCAUUUUCCCUUUA
This is an RNA transcript of Daucus carota subsp. sativus, 1123 nucleotides long. RefSeq lists it as uncharacterized. The record is from RefSeq and is a predicted model, not a curated record. The transcript is spliced from 4 exons. Lineage: Eukaryota; Viridiplantae; Streptophyta; Magnoliopsida; Apiales; Apiaceae.